Molecule: non-coding RNA, 2207 nt
Organism: Microcebus murinus (gray mouse lemur)
Lineage: Eukaryota; Metazoa; Chordata; Mammalia; Primates; Cheirogaleidae
Source: RefSeq, a predicted model, not a curated record
AUAAAAUCAGUUUCCUGAAUGUAGGUUGCUGAGCUGAAAGCAGAGCUGCCAGUUGUUAAAUUUAGCGCAUUUAGUCCUUUCGUGCAGCGUGGACACCCGCGUGGGGCGUCUGCGGCUGGUCCAGUCCGUGUGCUGUCCUCUGGUUUAGCACUAAGAGCAGCCACAGAAUUGUAACCUCAUGGAAAACCACGAGGUUUGGAGUGCCUUAAUCUUUAACCAGUUUCCAAUGAAAUGGUUUAAUACACACUGCUGUUUAAUAAAAAAAAAAGAAACUAUUAUGCUCUUUCUUUUAGUUCAAACAAGAACAUAAAAACAAAUUCAUACAAAAAGGUUAGAUAGGCUUACACAGGAUGGCCGGCGACAGCAGCCAGCGCUCGCUCUACUCUCUCUGACGGGGAACCAGCGGCCUACAGGAGACUGUAUCUGCCUCUAUUUCCAACAGACUCACGUUCAACUUUCGCUCACAAAAAGAAGCCGGGAAAAUUGUAUUAGUCCUUUUUUUAAAAAAAGUUAAUAUAAAAUUAUGGCAAAAAAAAAAAAAGGAACCCGAACUUUAGUAACAGCUGGAACAAUCUGCAGCGGCGGCGGGAGAAGAGGUUUAAUUAAGUUGAUUUUCUGUGGUUGUUGGUUGUUCGCUAGUCUCACGGUGAUGGAAGCUGCACAUUUUUUCGAAGGGACGGAGAAGCUGCUGGAGGUUCGGUUCUCCCGGCAGCAACCUGACGCGAACCAAGGAUCUGGGGAUCUUCGCACUAUCCCGAGAUCUGGGUGGGACAUACUUUUCAAGGAUGUGCAAUGUUCAAUCAUAAGUGUGACAAAAACUGACAAGCAGGAAGCUUAUGUACUCAGUGAGAGUAGCAUGUUUGUCUCCAAGAGACGUUUCAUUUUGAAGACAUGUGGUACCACCCUCUUGCUGAAAGCACUGGUUCCCCUGUUGAAGCUUGCUAGGGAUUACAGUGGGUUUGACUCAAUUCAAAGCUUCUUUUAUUCUCGUAAGAAUUUCAUGAAGCCUUCUCACCAAGGGUACCCACACCGGAAUUUCCAGGAAGAAAUAGAGUUUCUAAAUGCAAUUUUCCCAAAUGGAGCAGCAUAUUGUAUGGGACGUAUGAAUUCUGACUGUUGGUACUUACAUACUCUGGAUUUCCCAGAGAGUCGAGUAGUCAGUCAGCCAGAUCAGACCCUGGAAAUUCUGAUGAGUGAGCUUGACCCAGCAGCUAUGGACCAGUUCUACAUGAAAGAUGGUGUUACUGCAAAGGAUGUCACUCGUGAGAGUGGAAUUCGUGACCUAAUACCAGGUUCUGUCAUUGAUGCCACAUUGUUCAAUCCUUGUGGGUAUUCAAUGAAUGGAAUGAAAUCGGAUGGAACUUAUUGGACUAUUCACAUCACUCCAGAACCAGAAUUUUCUUAUGUUAGCUUUGAAACAAACUUAAGUCAGACCUCCUAUGAUGACCUGAUCAGGAAAGUUGUGGAAGUCUUCAAGCCAGGAAAAUUUGUGACGACCUUGUUUGUUAAUCAGAGUUCUAAAUGUCGCACAGUGCUUGCUUCGCCCCAGAAGAUUGAAGGCUUUAAACGUCUUGAUUGCCAGAGCACUAUGUUCAAUGAUUACAAUUUUGUUUUUACCAGUUUUGCUAAGAAGCAGCAACAACAGCAGAGUUGAUUAAGAAAGAUGAAGAAAAAAUGCAAAAAGAGAACACACAUAGAAGGUGGUGGCUGCUUUCUAGAUGUUAAUACCGGGGGCCAUGCUUUCCAUAACCACCACCUUGUAGUUGCAGAAAGCCCUAGAUGUAAUGAUAGUGUAGUCAUUUUGAAUUGUAUGCAUUAUUAUAUCAAAGAGUUAGAUAUCUUGCAUGAAUGCUCUCUUCUGUGUUUAGGUAUUCUAUGCCACUCUUGCUGUGAAAUUGAAGUGCAUUUAGAAAAAAACUUUUACUAUAUGGAACUUUACAACAUUUGUGAAAACAAUUCAAUUUGGUUUAUGCACAGUGUAAUAUUUCUCCAGGUAUCAUCCAAAAUUCCCCACAGACAAGGCUUUCGUCCUCAUUAGGUAUUGGCCUCAGCCAAACCAUCUGGGACUGUUCUAUUAAACUGCUGCCAGACUUUUACAUCCAGUUACCUCCACUUUCUAGAACUAAUUCUUUACUAAUGUUAUUGGAACCAAUUUCUACUUCAUACAGAUGUUUUUUGCAACAGCAAUUAAAGUUUUUUUUCCACAA